This is a long non-coding RNA of Esox lucius (northern pike), 1616 nucleotides long. The record is from Ensembl. Lineage: Eukaryota; Metazoa; Chordata; Actinopteri; Esociformes; Esocidae.
CAACAAUAUUCCCCUAACAGUCACGUUUCAACUGAUUACAGGAAAAUGGUAAAUAAUAUAGCAUCCUUCGUUAAGUUAAACCAUAUUAAUCACAAUUACCUGUACUUUUGACCUCUUGCUGUUCACCAUACUGCAAAACCACAAAAUUGCUGACUUCCUGUGUUCUCCCAAUCUCCUGACCAAUCCCCUUCCCUUUGUACUCAUCAAUAGGAUAACUUAAGGCCAAAAACCAAGCAUGAGGGCCAUUAAAGAGAAGAAAAUCCUAUGACUGUUAAUGCUUCAGUCUAUACUUAUGUUACCAAAGUUAUUUGAAUACGUUUUUAAGAGGACAUUCUUUGGACCUCAGUAAUUCAACUCAGCUGUUCUGGGUGAUGCUGGUGCCAUGUGAAAAUUAAACACAUACUGCUUGAGCUCAUAGCUCCUCCUACAAGACGUCUAUUUUAUGAUGAGAUAUUUUCAGUCAGUUUUUUCCGAACUGCCAUCGACAGCAAACUGUAAGCGUUGGUGGGAGAUAUGGGUUUAAAAAAAUGCAGAAAGACAGUCAUUUAGCCUCAUUGUUUGUAAUGUUCUUUCCAAAAUUUGCUGUUAAUUUCUGCAAAACAACUCAAGUAUGAUCCAGACGAGAUCUUCCUUCUUGUAGCAGUCCCUUUCCUCGUCAACCCCAAGCCAUGAUUUUGCUUGUCACAUCAAACAAGUCACCUUUAUCAUGCCAACAACUUCUUCUUCUUCUUGUUUCCGGCAGGCUAUAGACGCAUCUAUGGCGUAUUGCUCAUGCCAACAACUGAUUACCUACACCUGUUUUAAAUUGCAAGAAGUGCAAAUGCCUUUAAAAUAAAAGUCACAUUAUUCUCAAAGUACAUACAUGUCUAUCAUCAUCAGUGUCACCAAUUUGCAGGUUUCUCCUUGGGGUGUUCCAGUGCUGCCUAAUGGCGAUGUUGACAAGACAGCAGCUCCAAAACUGUGUAUGGAACUUCGCGCCACCCUUUUUCGAGCGCACGUGUCCUUUUUAAUAACAUUGCCAAGUGGAGGUAGAGGAUUGUUAGACUUCAUAGUAAGCAGGUGAUUUGGGGACAACAUCCUCUAGAAGAACUACAUUGCUUUUCCAUGAAAACCUGGGUCCUGUCAACCGACAGGAUAAUGGCAGUCCAACAGUUGAUCCUCUAGAUGUGUGAGCUGCUGGGAUUUUGAUAAGUAGGGAUGUAUCUCCAUUGCUGAGGAAUUGUGCUGAGACGCAUCUUCUACAGUCUGUUGGAAACAUACCCUAGAACUACUUUGGAAUCAUUCCAGAAAUAUUCCUCCACUAUGUCAACAUAUUCAAGCUCCUCUUUCAGCACAUUGCUCAUUUUCACAGUUACAAAUGUAGUGGUCAAUUGUUGUGACCUUUGUAGGGGAUUUUGUGUGACCAAAAAACAAUUGCACAAUUCAGUUGGAGGUACUGUAGGCUUUCAAGGACCGUUCUGUCAUUAGACACAAACUUACGUUGUCGAGUCAACUUUGCGGGCUGAAUGGAAUAUUCCACACUAUCCAUACCAUCCAUAAAAUGGUAUGUGGGAGCUCCUGCUCAUAAAGCUCUGGAUGGUAUGUUUUACAGAAAUGAUGAUGAGGCCUACAAAGAC